UACGUAGGUGGCAAGCGUUUGUCCGGAAUUAUUGGGCGUAAAGCGCGCGCAGGCGGUCUCUUAAGUCUGAUGUGAAAGCCCCCGGCUCAACCGGGGAGGGUCAUUGGAAACUGGGAGACUUGAGUGCAGAAGAGAAGAGUGGAAUUCCACGUGUAGCGGUGAAAUGCGUAGAGAUGUGGAGGAACACCAGUGGCGAAGGCGACUCUUUGGUCUGUAACUGACGCUGAGGCGCGAAAGCGUGGGGAGCAAACAGGG
This 255-nucleotide ribosomal RNA is filed under the name uncultured bacterium. RNAcentral's name for it is "partial 16S ribosomal RNA". It matches the Rfam family "Bacterial small subunit ribosomal RNA", at positions 524 to 777 of the family's 1533-position model. The record is from RNAcentral.